This is a long non-coding RNA of Chlorocebus sabaeus (green monkey), 3741 nucleotides long. RefSeq lists it as uncharacterized. The record is from RefSeq and is a predicted model, not a curated record. Lineage: Eukaryota; Metazoa; Chordata; Mammalia; Primates; Cercopithecidae.
GUAUGGAGAGUUUUCAAAUCUCCCAAGGAAUUAUAAUAUGUAGCAAAGUUUAAGGGCCAUUGCUCUAGGGCUCCUCCUCAUCCUUCUUCAGAGACUAGUGUUUCACAACGGGUUGAGGUGUGCCAGGCGGAGUGAAGGGACCUUCUGCAGUGUCAGAUUUGUGGAGGGAGACAAGGAAACACUAACUUUUUACUGAAAUGUGGUCUUGGGCCCAGCAGCAUCUGAAUCACUGAUUGAAGAUUUUACCAUCCAAAACCCACAAAGAGAAAACUCCUACUGUGGUCUUCAGAAUUUCCAUUCAGCUGAUUUGCCUGCCAAGUCCAGUGACCAGUACCGCCGCUCCUGAUGGUGGGGAGCAUAUGGUACUGCUGUGAAUAGUUUUGCUCUCACUGCUGUGAAAUCCCACGCCUUCCUACAGAAUGUGUUUGGAGGAGCAAAUGCUUUCCUGAUCAAUUUCAUCACACAAGCUGGCAGCUAUGGGCAGUGAGGGAAGGAAGAGGCGGUCUCCUCACUAGACAGCCGAGCCAAGGUCUCCCUGGUCAUCCAUGAGGUCAGCCGUGUGACAGCCAAACCACUGCAGGACCCUAAAAGUCACUAAGUGACCUGGAGCCACAGACUCAAGGUGCCGGGAACACUCCAGAAAGGCAGAUGCUGAUCUGCAGGAAGAGAUCUUCCUCAGAGACACUGAGGAUGACCAUCAAUUUCCCUCACUCAACACCCCUUCCUGCAUAAGAUGCUCUACAGGGGACCUCACCAUUAGUUCAAGGUUUUAAAGCAGAAUCAACUGUAACACCAACUUUCCUGUUUAAAAAUGUUCAGCCUCAGAAGAAUCUGUGCUCUGUGCCUAACAGUGAAGAAAAAGCCUCAACCACUUGUGACAUUUAUCUCUAGGCUUUACUCCUCAUCUCUCUUCCCCAGGGCCUGUUUGUAGCAUGCAACAGAGAGCGUGGAGUAGCCUAUUUAAAAGGACAAAGUAGACGAGACAGAGCUGUUAAUACAGGUCCCCCUCAACUUAAGACAACUUUAUCUUUGAAAAUUUGAACUUACUCUGGAAGCAGAUGGCCGAAGGAGUGAUUAUUCCCAUGAUUUUAUAAAAUGGUCCAUUACAAAAAUUCUUUAAAUUGUGAGCUCUCUAAAGAGUUCCAAAACAAAGUUUUAAAAAGGAUUUGAUUUACAAAAACAUAGAGGAAGGAUAACCUGUUCAGCAAUAAAUCUGUUACCUAAGGAGUAUGAUAAAGGCGUUGCUAACAGCUCUAUAAAACUUGCUUCCAGAGGCACCACUCAGCCCCCAGGUCAGCUUUUCCGGACACUGUCAUUCAUCUGGCUAGAAAGGCUUUCAGCUGUGACUAUUGCCAAAUGCCCUCCUGGGGUGGUGGCCAGGCAUGAACUUGGCUGCCCACAAAAGAUACAGGAAAGGGUUUUAAGGACAUGUUUUCUAUUUUUUUUUUUCUCACAAGUUAAGUGUUGUUGCUUUCUGAGAAGCCUGAGAUAGUGCAUGGGAUAUGAUUCAAUGGAAAGUCUUUGUAUGAGAAAAUGGCUCUUUCAAAGUGGUCUAUCUGAGGAUCAGCACAUUUGGAGUCUGUCUGACCCACAUUUCCAAAGCUACAGCUGGCUCUGCUGGACUGGGACAUGUGACAAGCAUCCUGGGAGAAGCUGCUCCAACGUUGGGAAGGGAACACUUCCAAGUCUGGAGAAUAGUUAGGGCUAAAACCUAUGAAUAUCUCUAGAUUACACACUGGGUCUUUCCAGGGGAAUGGAGGCUUUGGCUGACAGCAGAAAGCAGGUACUGUCCACUUCCUUAGGCUCACAUUCUCAUGUAAACAGGCCAGGCGGCCACAUACUCUGCACCAGCUGCAGCUUCUGGGUGGUCCUGCUAGGAAGUUCCAAGUGGAUUGCAGUGCAGUCAUGUAGGCUGGUGGUCACACAGCUAGAACAAGCAUCUGUGGGAGACAGCAAAGGCAUGUAGGCUCUCCACUCUCCAGUCUCUGGUGGAAAAUCAAAGUAAAAUCUGACUUCCCCGAGAAGUCUGUUCUCCAAAUUUAAAAAACAAAAUGGAACAAGACAAAAUCAUAGAGUCAAAGAGUGGGUGGAUUUUUCCGGCAGGCAAUUCCUGAUGUAAAGAUUAUUCAGUUCUGCUUCCCCAUUCCUCUUGGAAAUAUGGACUUAGAGCCUAGGUAAAUGCAUGUUAAUUUAUCAGUAUUAUUGCAUACUAAGCUAUGAAUGACAUUAUGACACUUUUCAGCAUCUCUCCUUAGGAAGGCAAAACAAGGGUAUUGCUGAGUUGGAAAUCCACCUCCACUACUUAUUAGCUGUUUGACAAGUUGCUUAACCUUUCUGUGCCUGUUUUGCUAUCUGUAAGUGAGAAAUACUAGUAACUCCUUAAAAGGGUCAUUGUGAGAAUAUAAAUGAAUUAAUAUAUAUAAAAUUUAGAACACUGUCUGGCAUAGAGUGAGCCCUAAGUAAGCAUUAACUUUAAUUCAUAUAAUUAAAAUGACAUUAAUGUUAUGGACUAUAUUCGUAUUGUGCUUUGUAGUUAUAAAGCACUUCCACUUGUUUUUGGUGGAUCUGUAGUUAAGGUGAAGUGGAGUAAGACUGAAGAAUCUCUAUUUUUCUUAAUGAGGUAAGAGAGAAAUAGGAGUAAUCAUACUGUAUGAGAUUAUUCCAGGUAGAAAGGUUGAUGUAUGUAACUCAAGAGUAGAAGAGGGAAAUUCCAUAAAGGAGAUACUGAGGUGGUUGCUGGGUUGGAAUUGAGAACCCAGGUAAAAGAGUAGUAGAAUACAAGCAGAGUUCAAGGCUGUGGACAGCAAGGGGAUGGAAAUGCAUAGAAAUCAAAAGAAAUGUUUAUAAGGAGUUUACAAAUAAAAAUCAGGAGUCUUAAUAUGGUUUAGCAGACAGCUGAGGUCUUAAAGGAGCAUUUUGCAAAUUGAAAACACUUAGUUUUCCUGGUUCUACACUUCACCCCAAAGUCAAUUACAGAUGAGGAUCUAAGAGCUGAAUAUAUAAAAAAUUAGAGAACAUAAAGUAAAAAGAAGAGAAGAAAAUUGAGAAUUCAUCAAACAUUUGGGAUAGGUUUAACUUUCUAAAAUUAGAAUCAAUAGAAGAAAAUUGAUACAUGGUGGCAUUGAAUAAGUACUUUUGAGUAUUCACACUUCCGUUUUGAUAGCCAUAGACCAAAUCAGGGAAACCCAUUUCAGGUCACAAAGAUAUUACUUCCAACAGAGGAUCUUGGCUUCUCAAGGUUCCAUCUUUCCAUCAAGACCAUUAGGUAGUGCUUUCUAAUCUGUGGGGCCCAGUGCAAAGUGAAAAUUUGGAGGCCUUUUGCGAAAUGCAGGAAACAAGUGCUAUUAAAUGUACUAAAUUAUAAAAUGCUUUCCCUUCUUCCUUGGUCUCUCUUUUGAAUUGUCAUGAUUUUUUAAAAAAUUUUCUGUUUAAUGUCAUUCUAAGUAAAAAAAAAAAAAAAAAAAAAAAAAAAAAAAAAAAACAAAUGCAACUGUCAUUAUUUCACAUGUAUAUUCUACUACCACUCUACUUUCGGCUUACUAGUGAAUAAGGAUGGACUAAAAGGAAAAGGAACUAUGGAUUGGCCUGUCAUCUCUUUUCAUUCCACGUCAUCGCUUCCAGUAUAAGUGAUUGAUUAUGAAAGGAAUGAGGCACAUCCCCCAUAUAUCUCCCAACUUCCUGAGCCCAGCACAAACACAUUCCUCCAUAUUUCUUUCAAACUUCAGAAAAACAUCACCUGGG